This 164-nucleotide ribosomal RNA is filed under the name Giardia duodenalis. RNAcentral's name for it is "Giardia intestinalis partial 18S small subunit ribosomal RNA". Lineage: Eukaryota; Fornicata; Diplomonadida; Hexamitidae. The record is from RNAcentral.
GGAGCGCGACGCUCUCCCCAAGGACGAAGCCAUGCAUGCCCGCUCACCCGGGACGCGGCGGACGGCUCAGGACAACGGUUGCACCCCCCGCGGCGGUCCCUGCUAGCCGGACACCGCUGGCAACCCGGCGCCAAGACGUGCGCGCAAGGGCGGGCGCCCGCGGG